CUUGUUAAUUAUUUGCUUCUCUUGAUCUCUUAAAUAGUUUUUGGACUGUUUCUGUGAAUCAAAUGGGUAGUAACCAGGUGUGGAAACAUUCUGUUAUGGUUUGUGCUGCAAUCACAACACACCAAUAUGUAUCUGCUGAGCAGAUUGUGAAUGGCAUGCAUCAGGCAAAGGCAGAAGGAGCUGAUAUAGUGGAGCUUAGGCUUGACUGCAUCACCAAUUUCCACUCUCACCAUGACCUCAAAAUCAUUCUCCAAAAUAAGCCACUACCCGUGCUUAUUGUUAACCGACCAAAAUGGGAAGGUGGUUUGUACGAGGGCGAUGAGAACAAGCGGUUGGAAGCAUUACAGCUUGCUGUGGAAUUGAGUGCUGAUUUCAUAGACGUUGAGCUGAAGGCAGCUUCUUGUCUUCCAACCUUGGUGGAACAUAUGAGAAAUCAUAAUAGUCAUGGCAAAAUCAUUGUUUCCUGCUAUGUGGAUGGCACCACCCCUCCGCAUGAAGUACUACUUCAACUUGUUGAACUAAUGCAAGCUACUGGAGCAGAUAUCAUCAAACUUGUCACACUUGCAGCUGAUAUAACCGAAAUUAAAAGAAUUUUUAGCUUGUUUCUCUAUUGCCAGGUACCGUUGAUUGCUUAUUCUGUUGGAGAAAGAGGAUUAAUAAGCCAGCUUCUGAGUCCAAAAUUUGGCGGGUUCUUUGUCUAUGGAUCAUUGGCAGGAAAUCCAAUCCCUGGUUUGCCUUCUCUUGACAGUAUCCAAGAAGCCUAUAAAUUGGAACAUGUAAAUGCAGAUACUAAAGUUUUUGGGCUCAUCUCAAAACCAGUUAGCCACAGCAGAGGCCCUAUAUUGCAUAAUCCUUCCUUCAAAGAUGUAAACUAUAAUGGAAUCUAUGUCCCCAUGUUUGUUGAUGAUCUUAAAAAGUUCUUUAGUACCUAUCCAAGCCCUGAUUUUAGUGGUUUUAGUGUUGGGAUUCCAUAUAAGGAAGAAGUGCUAAGGUUUUGCGAUGAAGUCCAUCCACUUGCUCAGUCUAUAGGAGCAGUUAAUACUAUAAUAAGGAGACCAAGAGAUGGAAAACUUGUUGGUUAUAAUACAGAUUGUGAGGCUGCAAUUACUGCAAUUGAGGAUGCACUCAUUGAGCAUGGUUGCAAUGAUGGUGAAGCAUCUUUAGGUUCACCCCUUGCUGGACGAUUGUUUGUGCUAGUUGGUGCGGGAGGUGCAGGGAAAGCACUGGCAUUUGGUGCUAAAAGCAGAGGAGCUCGUCUAGUCAUCUUUGACAUUGAUUUUGAUAGAGCAAAAUCUCUUGCUUGUGCUGUAUUUGGUGAAGCUCAGCCUUUCAAAGAGUUGGUCAACUUUCAGCCAGAGAAAGGGGCAAUUCUUGCGAAUGCAACACCUGUAGGAAUGCAUCCCAAUACAGACAGAAUUCCUGUGGCAGAGGUUCUACACCCUUUAUUCAAGCUACUUUGGAAGACUACCGGUUAGUCUUUGAUGCUGUGUAUACUCCAAGAAGAACCAGAUUGUUGAACGAAGCGGAUGCUGCAGGAGCAAUAACUGUGGCUGGGGUAGAAAUGUUCCUAAGGCAGGCCAUUGGUCAGUUCAAUCUUUUCACUGGCCUAGAAGCACCUGAAGAAUUUAUGCGGGAAAUUGUUUUAUCCAAAUUUUGAAGGCGCCGCUUUCAUAAAUUGAUCCUACAACUUGAAGGAGGCUGCAUGCCUGCACCUAUCAAGAAAUUCUUGUAUCACAUUGCAUAACAUUUUUCUUUAAAAAAAAUCCCUUAUUUUUAGUUGGGACGACAACUAUAAUGCAACAUAAUAAAUUGAAAUAAUAGGCAAAAUAGCAAAAGUUGUUGUGGGCGCAGCUGAAAGACAUGGUUCAACUUAAUUUGUGGUUUUAGGAAUAAAAAUGUUGUGAUUCUCUGAAGAAGAAAAAAAUGUUGUCAUAGCUUCAUAGGUAAUAUUAACUUGGGCCUUACACAAAAAAAUGUUGUUAUAUGGUUGUUGUGUGUGCCA
Glycine soja is the source of this 2002-nucleotide RNA transcript. It is a transcript of the gene named bifunctional 3-dehydroquinate dehydratase/shikimate dehydrogenase, chloroplastic-like, with no coding region annotated. The transcript has 10 exons. The record is from RefSeq and is a predicted model, not a curated record. Lineage: Eukaryota; Viridiplantae; Streptophyta; Magnoliopsida; Fabales; Fabaceae.